RNAcentral lists this ribosomal RNA (585 nucleotides) under fungal sp. AM2013. RNAcentral's name for it is "eukaryotic LSU rRNA". The stretch from base 194 to 347 matches the Rfam family "5.8S ribosomal RNA". Lineage: Eukaryota; Fungi. The record is from RNAcentral.
UUUCACUCCCAAACCCAAUGUGAACGUUACCAAACUGUUGCCUCGGCGGGAUCUCUGCCCCGGGUGCGUCGCAGCCCCGGACCAAGGCGCCCGCCGGAGGACCAACCAAAACUCUUUCUGUAUACCCCCUCGCGGGUUUUUUAUAAUCUGAGCCUUCUCGGCGCCUCUCGUAGGCGUUUCGAAAAUGAAUCAAAACUUUCAACAACGGAUCUCUUGGUUCUGGCAUCGAUGAAGAACGCAGCGAAAUGCGAUAAGUAAUGUGAAUUGCAGAAUUCAGUGAAUCAUCGAAUCUUUGAACGCACAUUGCGCCCGCCAGUAUUCUGGCGGGCAUGCCUGUCCGAGCGUCAUUUCAACCCUCGAACCCCUCCGGGGGGUCGGCGUUGGGGAUCGGCCCUGCCUCUUGGCGGUGGCCGUCUCCGAAAUACAGUGGCGGUCUCGCCGCAGCCUCUCCUGCGCAGUAGUUUGCACACUCGCAUCGGGAGCGCGGCGCGUCCACAGCCGUUAAACACCCAACUUCUGAAAUGUUGACCUCGGAUCAGGUAGGAAUACCCGCUGAACUUAAGCAUAUCAAUAAGCCGGGAGGAA